GAGGGUAUAGCUCAGUGGUAAAGUGCGUGCUUAGCAUGCACAAAGUCCUGGGUUCAAUCCCCAGCACCUCCA
Molecule: transfer RNA, 72 nt
Filed under: Camelus bactrianus (Bactrian camel)
Lineage: Eukaryota; Metazoa; Chordata; Mammalia; Artiodactyla; Camelidae
Also listed under: 2 other names
Rfam family: tRNA
About the family: Transfer RNA (tRNA) molecules are approximately 80 nucleotides in length. Their secondary structure includes four short double-helical elements and three loops (D, anti-codon, and T loops). Further hydrogen bonds mediate the characteristic L-shaped molecular structure. tRNAs have two regions of fundamental functional importance: the anti-codon, which is responsible for specific mRNA codon recognition, and the 3' end, to which the tRNAs corresponding amino acid is attached (by aminoacyl-tRNA synthetases). tRNAs cope with the degeneracy of the genetic code in two manners: having more than one tRNA (with a specific anti-codon) for a particular amino acid; and 'wobble' base-pairing, i.e. permitting non-standard base-pairing at the 3rd anti-codon position.
Source: Rfam by way of RNAcentral